Molecule: ribosomal RNA, 465 nt
Filed under: uncultured bacterium
Lineage: Bacteria
Description: partial 16S ribosomal RNA
Rfam family: Bacterial small subunit ribosomal RNA
Source: RNAcentral
GACGAACGCUGGCGGCGUGCUUAACACAUGCAAGUCGUACGGUAAGGCCCUUUCGGGGGUUCACGAGUGGCGAACGGGUGAGUAACACGUGAGUAACCUGCCCACAACUUUGGGAUAACGCUAGGAAACUGGUGCUAAUACUGGAUAUGUGCUCCUGCUGCAUGGUGGGGGUUGGAAAGCUCCGGCGGUUGUGGAUGGACUCGCGGCCUAUCCGCUUGUUGGUGGGGUAGUGGCCUACCAAGGCGGCGACGGGUAGCCGGCCUGAGAGGGUGACCGGCCACAUUGGGACUGAGAGACGGCCCAGACGCCUACGGGAGGCAGCAGUGGGGAAUAUUGCACAAUGGGCGCAAGCCUGAUGCAGCAACGCCGCGUGCGGGAUGACGGCCUUCGGGUUGUAAACCGCUUUCAGCAGGGACGAAGCUUUUUGUGACGGUACCUGCAGAAGAAGCACCGGCUAACUACGUG